GCCUAACACAUGCAAGUCGAGCGGCAGCGACAACAUUGACCCUUCGGGUGAUUUGUUGGGCGGCGAGCGGCGGACGGGUGAGUAAUGCCUAGGAAAUUGCCCUGAUGUGGGGGAUAACCAUUGGAAACGAUGGCUAAUACCGCAUAAUCUCUUCGGAGCAAAGAGGGGGACCUUCGGGCCUCUCGCGUCAGGAUAUGCCUAGGUGGGAUUAGCUAGUUGGUGAGGUAAUGGCUCACCAAGGCGACGAUCCCUAGCUGGUCUGAGAGGAUGAUCAGCCACACUGGAACUGAGACACGGUCCAGACUCCUACGGGAGGCAGCAGUGGGGAAUAUUGCACAAUGGGCGCAAGCCUGAUGCAGCCAUGCCGCGUGUAUGAAGAAGGCCUUCGGGUUGUAAAGUACUUUCAGUCGUGAGGAAGGCAUUAACGUUAAUAGCCGUUGGUUUUGGACGUUAGCGACAAAAGAAGCACC
This 470-nucleotide ribosomal RNA is filed under the name uncultured Gammaproteobacteria bacterium. Its description in RNAcentral is "bacterial SSU rRNA". It matches the Rfam family "Bacterial small subunit ribosomal RNA", at positions 46 to 494 of the family's 1533-position model. Lineage: Bacteria; Pseudomonadati; Pseudomonadota; Gammaproteobacteria. The record is from RNAcentral.